This 324-nucleotide ribosomal RNA is filed under the name uncultured archaeon. Its description in RNAcentral is "bacterial SSU rRNA". It matches the Rfam family "Archaeal small subunit ribosomal RNA", at positions 321 to 649 of the family's 1478-position model. The record is from RNAcentral.
CCCUACGGGGCGCAGCAGGCGCGAAAACUUUGCAAUGCGGGAAACCGUGACAAGGGAACUCUGAGUGCCCGUAAAAUCGGGCUGUCCAUCGGUUUAAAUAACCGGUGAAGAAAGGGCCGGGCAAGACCGGUGCCAGCCGCCGCGGUAAUACCGGCGGCUCGAGUGGUGGCCACUAUUACUGGGCUUAAAGCGUUCGUAGCUGGUUUGUUAAGUCUCUGGGGAAAUCUUCCGGCUUAACCGGAAGGCGUCUCAGGGAUACUGGCAGACUAGGGACCGGGAGAGGUGAGAGGUACUCCAGGGGUAGGAGUGAAAUCCUGUAAUCCA